Non-coding RNA from Candidatus Berkelbacteria bacterium CG1_02_42_45, 4752 nucleotides. The record is from Rfam. Lineage: Bacteria; Candidatus Berkelbacteria.
CGGAUUUAGAAUUUCGAGUUUCCGCGCUUUGCGCGGUCAUGGCGUGCCUUUUGUAGAAUGAGCCAACGAGUUAGCUGUAUGCGGCAAGCUUAAGGGUUGUACCCGGAGGCGUAGUGAAAGCGAGCCUUAAUAGGGCGAUUAGUCGUAUGCACUAGACCCGAAACCGAGUGAUCUAUCCAUGGCCAGGGUGAAGGCCGAGUAACAUCGGCUGGAGGCCCGAACCUGUUCACGUUGCAAAGUGUUAGGAUGAGCUGUGGAUAGUGGUGAAAUGCUAAUCGAACUCGGAAAUAUCUGGUUCUCCUCGAAAUAUAUUUAGGUAUAGCCUCUGCCCAAUAACACGAGAGGUAGAGCACUGGAUGGGUUUUGGCGGCUUCGGCCGUCGGCCCCAAAUAAACUCCGAAUUCUCGUGUUUUUAGCAGGGAGUCAGACUGUGGGGGCUAAGCUUCAUGGUCAAGAGGGAAACAGCCCGGAUCGCCAUCUAAGGUCCCUAACUAAAGUCUAAGUGGAAAAGGAAGUGGAAUCUCCUAAACAAUCAGGAGGUUGGCUCAGAAGCAGCCAUCCUUUAAAGAGUGCGUAAUAGCUCACUGAUCUAACAGAGAUUCUGCGCCGAAAAUGUAACGGGGCUCAAGACUUUGACCGAAGAUGCGGAUUCGCGUCUCACUAUCGUUCGACGACUCCAGCAAUGGAUAACGAAUGGUCUAAAUAACGAAUAACCAAUAAAAAUUUCGAAAUUCGAAAUUCGAAACUCGAAACAAACAAAGAAAAUUCGAAUGUUUAAAAUUUUGAAAAUUAGAAUUUAGAAUUUGUUUCGGAUUUCGGAUUUCGAUAUUCGGAUUUAUAUUCAGAUUCGUCAUUAGUCAUUUGGAUAAAUUAGUCAUCCAUUUGUGGAGCGGCGAGCGGCAGCGAGGCGCGAGUGGUAGAGGAGCGUUCUUCGUGCGAUGAAGGUAGUCCGUAAGGAUUGCUGGAGUGCGGAGAAGUGAGAAUGUUGGCAUGAGUAACGAAUUAGCCAAGCGAGAAACUUGGCCACCGAAUACCCAAGGUUUCCUGGGCAACGGUAAUCGUCCCAGGGUUAGUCGGCCCUAAGCCGAGGCGUAAAGCGUAGGUGAUGGCCAGCUGGUUCAUAUUCCAGCACUCCGGAUGCUUGUCUCUAUGUGCGCAUUGUAACGAUUUACAGGAAGCUAUGGUUAAUUUCUGUAAGGCAUAGCAGUGACAAGAAAAGCGUAGAAACUUAUGGUAUCUGGAACCGUACCGCAAACCGACUCAGGUGGGUGAGGCGAGAAGCCUCAGGUGAUCGGAAGAACCCUCGUUAAGGAACUCGGCAAAUAAGCAGCUGUAACUUCGGAAUAAAGCUUCCCCGAUGUAAUGUCGGGGCGCAGCGAAAGAGCCCAGGCGACUGUUUACCAAAAACACAGGCCUCUGCUAAAGCGAAAGCUGAUGUAUAGGGGCUGACGCCUGCCCAAUGCUCGAAGGUCAAAUCCACUGGUGAUCCCCCGAUUCGUCGGGGAUGAGCCGGUGGGCUAAGCCCGAGUGAAUGGCGGCCGUAACUAUAACGGUCCUAUGGUAGGAUAUUAACUGCCUUAGUGAGGUGAAAGACCUCCGUUCGAACCUCGACGCCAUCGAGGAUGUAGGAUGAAAAUUCGACUAUAUGCUGGAAUAACCCGAUAGUAUCUGGCGGUGCUCGUGAUCCAAUAGGAUUGCAGCGAAAAUCCGACCAGUGGGGUCAAUCAGCAGGGAAGGUGAUGAGAUGGUAUUGGUAGUAAGGCUGGUAGUAGUGCAUCUCGGUUCAUCGCCAUCAGAUUGCGAUGAUUUCCGAGGAGCGACUCAAACUCGACUGUCAGUCCGAAGAAGCAUUUCUCGAGGAGUGUAACAAGCGCGAACAGGAAUUGACCGCUGGUCUUCCUGUGACAUCGCGGUUGUAGUUUGAUCAGAAGUCACGCAGAGUGAUCUCGGUCAUAGCGCUCGAGAAGUAAUCACCACCCCCAACGACUACACGUCGAGAACGAAGAACCAUGGAACGAAAGGGGCGCUCCAGUAUUUUCUCCGUUAAGAUAUAGUCUGAACUGCAUGGCGACAUGUAGAUCUCGACAGAAAUGAUCGAGACAUCUUGAUUGUCAUUCCGGACUUGAUCCGGAAUCUAUACAAAUAGAUCCUGAAAUGAAUUCAGGAUGACAAAAAAGUAGUAACAUAAAGAGCGAAAUUCCUUGUCGGGUAAUGUUGUCGGAAAACUUGCCCGAAAUAGAUAGUAAUAUCUCUUAAGUAAACCAGCUAAUAACGGUGAACUCCUUGGUGGCCGAAGAAGUCAGAGGAGAAUAUCGUGGGAAGUCCGGCCCUUUGUAAAAAGAGUUGGACCCCGUAACGACUGAUCCGAAAGGUGAGAUUCGAUGUAAUAUCGGAUAAUACGCUGGCGCUUGUCGAAAAAAGUAUGCAAUGGAGUUCUUGGAAAGGAGAAAGAUGGAUUUUAAUUCAUUUAUUUCUGGUUUUGUUGAAGGCGAAGGAUGCUUCUGUGUUUCGUUUAAUCAGCGCAGUAAGUUGAAAACGAACAUUGAAGUCAGGCCGAGCUUUUCAAUCAGCCAGAAUAAGAAAAAUCUUGAGCUUAUAAAGAGAAUUCACCAGAAUUUCGGGUGUGGCUCGAUAAGAUUUUCCAAGAAUGACCAAAAUUAUAAAUUCGAAGUCAGAUCAAUAACCGAUCUUGUAAAAAAGAUCAUCCCAUUUUUUAGGAAAUAUCCUUUAGUGGGAACGAAAAAAUCAGACUUUGAAAAAUUUUCGCAGGUUUGCGACUCGAUUUAUAAAAACCAGCAUCGCAACCCGAAAAAAUUAUUAGAGAUCAUCGAAAUUUCUUAUCAAAUUAAUUGCGGUAAGAGAAAAUAUCAAAAAGAUGAGCUCCUAAAGCAUAUGACAAGCUGAAAAUAUAGUCUAAUCCAUUAGCAAUAAUGGCAAUAAACUUGAAGUUCCGACCCGCACGAAUGGCGUAACGAUCUGGGCACUGUCUCAACGAGGGAUCCGGUGAAAUUACAAUGCCGGUAAAGAUGCCGGCUACCUGCAGCAAGACGGAAAGACCCCGUGGAGCUUUACUAUAGUUAGAUAUUGAAUCUAGGAUUUAGAUGUGUAGAAUAGGUGGGAGAAUCGCGUCUCACUAUCGUUCGACGCAACCAAGAACGGAUAACGAAUAUCCUAAUAGCCAAUAACGAAUAAUACAAAUAUUCGUAAAUAUUAGUUAUUAGUCAUUAGAAACAUUAGUCAUCCAUUCUUGGAGCGGUGAGCGGCAGCGAGGCGCGACUCACUAGUGAAAUACCACUCUUCUACUUUCUGGCUUCUAACCACCCGACCGGAAUCGAUCGGGAGAGACAGUAUCUGACGGGUAGUUUAACUGGGGCGGUUGCCUCCUAAAUUGUAACGGAGGCGUUCAAAGGUACGCUUACUCCGGAUGGAAAUCGGAGUGAAAGUAUAAAAGCAUAAGCGUGCUUGACUGUGAGACUUACAAGUCGAACAGGUGGGAAACCAGGAUUUAGUGAUCCGGUCCGCAUUUAUGAUAAUCGGACCGCUCAUCGGAUAAAAGUUACCCCGGGGAUAACAGGCUGAUCGCAUCCAAUAGACCACAUAGACGAUGCGGAUUGGCACCUCGAUGUCGGCUCGUCCUAUCCUGGGGCUGAAGAAGGUCCCAAGGGUUUGGCUGUUCGCCAAUUAAAAGGGUACGCGAGCUGGGUUCAGAACGUCGUGAGACAGUGGAAUAUUGCGCUGUCUAUAAAUUUGGCUAUAUGCUGGGAACUCUGUAGUCCUAAUAGGACUUGUAGUAUCUGGUGGUACUUUGUAUUAUAGAAAUAUGUUACAAAGUGAAAAUUCAUCCAGUGCAGACAAUCAGCAGGAAAGGUCAAAAGAGUUUUUGCGCGGGUACGUUUGUGGUUUGGUUGAUGGUGAAGGCAGCUUUCACAUCGCUUUUGCGAUACGAAAAGACUUGCCUUUAGGAAUGUCUGUGAUUCCGGAGUUUCAUGUUUCACAGAAUUUCCAGAGCCGAAAUGUUCUAGAACUUGUUGAAAAAGUUUUAGGCUGCGGCUACAUUAAACCAAAUCACCGGAAUUCAAAGGAUGAGACUUUUGUCUAUGUCGUCCGAGAUCGGGCUGACCUUAUAACAAAAGUUAUUCCAUUCUUUGAAUUCAACCAUUUGCUUACAUCUAAAAAGCUUGAUUUCAAAAUAUUCUAUUCUGUUGUUCGAAUAAUCUGCUCUGGCAGACACCGAACAUCAGUUGGAAUGGCUGAAAUCAUCAAACUAGCUUACAAGAUGAAUGCUGGUGGAAAAAGACGUAUUCGUAAAAAAGAAGAAUUAUUAGCUCUUUUGAAAUCCUCAACGACUACAUGCCAAACUCCGAACAAAGUGUCGGAGAAGAUAUAGUCUAAACUGCAUAGCGAUAUGCAGAAUCCAAUUCGCAUUGGAUCGCCACAGAUAAAUUUCAGUAAUUGAUGUGGUUAUCAAGUAAUAGAUUGUCGGUCCUAAUCUGCUGUAGGCGUAAAGAUUUGAGUGGUGCUGUCCCUAGUACGAGAGGACCGGGAUGGACGAACCUCUGGUGUGCCAGUUGGAUGACCCUCAUCCAUCGCUGGGUAGCUAUGUUCGGUUUGGAUAAACGCUGAAAGCAUAUAAGCGUGAAGCCGUCCACAAGAUUAGAUCUUUGAUCCCCCAAAGACUAUGGGGUUGAUAGGCUCUAGGUGUAAGUCCCGUGAGGGAUUCAGCUGUGGAGUACUAAUUGAUCAAUUUCCGCC